RNAcentral lists this ribosomal RNA (138 nucleotides) under uncultured eukaryote. Its description in RNAcentral is "partial 18S ribosomal RNA". It matches the Rfam family "Eukaryotic small subunit ribosomal RNA", at positions 1299 to 1458 of the family's 1831-position model. The record is from RNAcentral.
UGGUGGAGUGAUUUGUCUGCUUAAUUGCGAUAACGAACGAGACCUUAACCUGCUAAAUAGUCAGGCCAGCUUCAGCUGGUCGCAGGCUUCUUAGAGGGACUAUCGGCUUCAAGCCGAUGGAAGUUUGAGGCAAUAACA